UGGGAGUAGUAGGAAGCAACCACUAAAUUCGAAUAGCCUUUUCUCUAUUUGAUAAAGAGAGAGGGAUUCCUUGUGGUACUACAUGGCUUGGUUUAAUGCAAUGACAUUGGAGAUCUGCAACCCUAAAAUGUUAGCCAUGAUAUUAGCACUAAAAAGGAGACUUUGGAGUACAUCGAAGGACUACAUUGAUCUCCUCACGAAAACACAAAAAUAUGUGUGAGCCAAGGAAGUGGCAACUGAGC
Molecule: long non-coding RNA, 242 nt
Filed under: Elaeis guineensis (African oil palm)
Lineage: Eukaryota; Viridiplantae; Streptophyta; Magnoliopsida; Arecales; Arecaceae
Description: long non-coding RNA (EGUI_LNC033418)
Source: RNAcentral